GGUUUAAUUCGAAGCAACGCGAAGAACCUUACCUGCUCUUGACAUCUCCCUGACCGGCAAGUAAUGUUGCCUUUCCUUCGGGACAGGGAUGACAGGUGGUGCAUGGUUGUCGUCAGCUCGUGUCGUGAGAUGUUGGGUUAAGUCCCGCAACGAGCGCAACCCCUAUCUUUAGUAGCCAGCGGUCAGGCCGGGCACUCUAGAGAGACUGCCAGGGAUAACCUGGA
RNAcentral lists this ribosomal RNA (224 nucleotides) under uncultured bacterium. Its description in RNAcentral is "partial 16S ribosomal RNA". It matches the Rfam family "Bacterial small subunit ribosomal RNA", at positions 943 to 1167 of the family's 1533-position model. The record is from RNAcentral.